RNAcentral lists this long non-coding RNA (762 nucleotides) under Cricetulus griseus (Chinese hamster). RNAcentral describes it as "lncRNA (ENSCGRG00015035850.1)". The record is from RNAcentral. Lineage: Eukaryota; Metazoa; Chordata; Mammalia; Rodentia; Cricetidae.
GGCAUCUCGCUGGGCCUAAGGAUGCUGUUCAAAACCAGAUGAUUUUUUUCUUUCCUAAUGGACCAGAAUAGGUGGUGUGAGCACUGUCCUCCCAGCGUGACAUGAGAACAGCUCGGGCUGUUCCAGAGACUGGAGAUGGGGUCUGCUGACUGGUCAUGCUCCUUCACAGAUUUGAUCGGCUGGGCUGUCAAACGUUACAUCCUUGAGUGGACGAGGAUUGCAUAAUUCUGUAGGAUCAGCCCGGGAAGCGUUGUCCCGCCUGUAUCAGUGAUUGACAGAAGGCAGAGCAGAGAGAGGGCUGACCGUGCCUGUGAACACGUUUGAAGUUGCGGCGUUCCCAUUUUGUACAAGGGUUUAAAAGAGCGCCACCACCAUUUUCAUGAGCUUGGGAUGGUUGUUUCUGACAUCUGCACAGUUAUUUCAAGUCCAGGCUUCAAACUACAAUAACCUGCUUGUCUCAGCCUCCUGAGUACUGCGAUUAAACAUGCAUGACACCAACAUACAUGGGUCAAAGUCUAAACUGUCACUGGAAAAAUCAUCUGGAUCAUCUCACAGUGCUCCCGUGACUACGCAAUAUGACAAGGCUUGGGAAAGUGCUCGGUAAAUCUCAGAAGCUUCCCGUCUUCAUUCUGUCAGCACAUUUGAGCACGGACUGUGUGUCAGAAGCCAGGGGCAUUGUAUCUACAGUGUAAGAGGAUCUUGACUGGGAGGCCCCAGGGACCCUGUGAUGGAAAAGGCCUCCUCUCCAGGGCUGCUGGUCAG